Carica papaya (papaya) is the source of this 641-nucleotide non-coding RNA. The record is from RefSeq and is a predicted model, not a curated record. Lineage: Eukaryota; Viridiplantae; Streptophyta; Magnoliopsida; Brassicales; Caricaceae.
UCUACACCUUUCUUCCGCACAUUUCACUUUUUUACUUAUUUUGUCGAAGGAAACCUGUGCAUAAAAGAUUUGAUGGUUCUGUUGCCAUCCACUCAUUUGAUGAAGCUCCUCGAUUAUAUUGAAGCAAAAAUGUGAUAACUUGUGCAACAGAUUACGCAACACAGUCUAAUAGUAGAUAUUAGACCAGUUGAUGGAACAAAUACCUUGCCCACGUGUUGCAUUUAGGUUCGAAUGACUGACCAACCACAAAAGAUGAAAGGUCUGAUAGAUAGCCUUCACACGGAAUCAGCUUGAUUUGUCUUCUGAGGAUUCUAAGUUGGAAUGUACCCAUCUGAUUGUUUUGCCAGACUCUGAGACAUGGAGGAGUUGUAGAAGGGCUUCCUAUCUGCUGACUGUUAAGGAAGUUGAUUCAGACUAGGAAAACUCACGCGGGACAAGUGGCAUUUUGAUUGUGAUGAUGUGCAAAAGAUUCUAUAAAUGUACAGCCUAGUUGACAAAGUCUACCAACUUCCGAAGAAUCUGGUAUCAAGACAUUUCUUCCUUGGGAAUAAUAGUGGCAAAACAAAAUCCUGUUUGUUCACGUAAGUUUAUGGUGUCAAUUUCUGUGAGAGAAAUCCAGCAUACUGCAGGGAAGAGCAUAU